RNAcentral lists this ribosomal RNA (969 nucleotides) under Triticum aestivum (bread wheat). Its description in RNAcentral is "partial small subunit ribosomal RNA". Lineage: Eukaryota; Viridiplantae; Streptophyta; Magnoliopsida; Poales; Poaceae. The record is from RNAcentral.
AUGGGUAACUCUAUCGCAGCUAGUUCAGCUCCUGCACUGCUGGGAGAUGCUCACAAUCCAUGCUUCAAAUGGAAGGUUCAUAACUUCUCAAACUUACUCCAGAGGGGAGAUGUCUCAGUCAAUUCAGCUCCCUUUUUCUGCUCUGGGUACAAAUGGUUCCUUCAGUUGACUCCGCUUACCAAGCCAUAUUCUGGAAAACCAUGUGUUGCUCUUUCUCUAGGAAUUACUCGAGGAAGUCUGGGCUUGGAGCCAGGUUCCGUGAUGGCUGUGGUGUUUGAGUUGUCAAUAUACAAUCAUUCAGAUCAUGUGCAUUGGGGAUCCAAAGCUACCUUCAACUUUGAUGAUGAGCAUAUAAACUCGAAGAAGGAAUGCUUGAUUCCACUUAAAGAACUACUGGCUUCAACUGAUUUUUUGGCUGAUGACUGCUGUGUCUUUGGUGUGGAUAUAUUGAAAAUUGAUGCCCUUUUUCCUGAAAAGGAGGAAAUUGCGAUCCAGAAGGCUGCAAAAAUUCAGAGCCUCUUCAUCCAGAAAGAUAAUUUCAUCAAAUUGACCUGCAGCGUGACGAUAAAUAACUUUCUUGAAAUGAGCAUGGUGAAAUUCGUUUGUUCAAGAUUUGAACUUGAUGGACAAAACUGGUACUUUGGCGUCUAUCCGCAAGGUAACCAGUACAGCAAUAGCUGCCUCUCCUUGUACUUGCACCUCGAUGGCCCAGAAGAGCUCCCUCAUAAGUAUGGAAAGUUGGUUGAAUUAACUUUAUCCAUAUUGGACCAAAAACAUGGAAAACACUUCAUCAGGAAAUGCCCAGGUCUCGUGGUGUUUGCUGGUAAAUCCCACUGGGGGUGGUCUGACUUCAUUCCGCUUAAGACAUUCAUGAAUCCGGAGAGAGGCUAUCUUGUAGAAUCGUGCUGCAUUAUCAAGGCAGAGAUUACUAUCUUUGGAUCUUCUGAUGCGUGUCGUCUGAUGGCAUGA